GCAGGAGAGCCACACGCCGUGCUCCGGUGGCGGCGUCAGUCCCUGCCCGUCCCCGCGCGCGGCUCCCGCCGGCCGCGCUCAUCCCCCGCUGCCAUAGCUACCGGCAGCCGCGCCGCCGCCUCUCGCGAGAGCCGCCAUCUUCCCGCGAGAGCCGCGGGCGGCGCCGGCGGCGGGCGCCUCCUCUGGCGAGAGGGCUGAGGCGGCGCUGGGCACGGAGCUGCCGGCCGGGAAUGGCGCUGGGCACGGCGCUGGGCACGGCGCGGUGGGAUUGCGGACAGCCGCAGAGCCUGGGCAGUGCUAGCUGCGAAACACGGCUGGAGGGAACAGACACGUUCGUACCUUGCAAAAGUUUGGUUGUAGUUCAUGUGAGCUGAGUUAGCUGACAGGCUAGAGCCAAGACAUGGUGUCUUCAACACCAUGCGUACUUCGGGUGUGAAUUAGACCAUCUCAGGAUGAGGGAAAAUUGAGUAAGAUAUUUUAGAAACAUGUAGUGUGAUUUUUUUGGAUACUAGACAACAUGUAAAAUUACUACAAAUCUCACAUUCCCUGAACUGUGUCAACUGUACAUUGCAACCUCUGAUUUUCCUGUCACCAGUGCAGACUGAUCUUAAUAUUAACUCUGGUGACACCCAAGAAACGCUUUUCAAGCCGACUGAAAUAAAUAGGUGCUUUCCUAUGAAUUCAGGACCAUGCAUAUAGAGAGAAUCCGAGGAGAAUUGUGACGACCACCAUUUCCACUUAGUACCUCAGUGAAAGAGUGUUCCCAGAAUCUGAGAGGUACAGCUUUUGUAACAAUUCUUAGAGAAAUGCCACCACCUCUCUGCAAAUGCAGGAACCUGGGGUAAAACAAUAAUGUCUGAGCCUGGGAAGACUUGAGACCUUUGUCAGCCUUCUAUAGUACAAUUGCACUGUCUCUGUCUGAAUUUCCAGAAAAUAUUUGUUCACAGUAAGCCCUGUCACAAGAACCAGGAAGAAUAACUAUUUUGAUUUGGCACCUGAAGAACUUAUAACCAUAAAUUAAUCUCAUCUUUUGCAUUCAUUUGUUCACUCUGGAUUUUUGAAAGGCAAAUGUUUGUUAUCAUUCUGGCUUGAUAACUUCUUCUGCUCCAAUUUUUUUUGAAGGGUAGUGGUCCCUUGUCUGCAAAUGUAUUGGUAUCAGUUCUCCCUGAAAGUAUUUCAGAUUAUAUUUUGUUUAAAUGAAAAAUUUAUACAAAACAUCACAUAACAUUUUAAAAUUCAAACUCUGCACAAAA
Taeniopygia guttata (zebra finch) is the source of this 1253-nucleotide non-coding RNA. The record is from RefSeq and is a predicted model, not a curated record. NCBI's taxonomy places the organism in Eukaryota, Metazoa, Chordata, Aves, Passeriformes, Estrildidae.